RNAcentral lists this ribosomal RNA (352 nucleotides) under uncultured rumen bacterium. Its description in RNAcentral is "bacterial SSU rRNA". It matches the Rfam family "Bacterial small subunit ribosomal RNA", at positions 19 to 363 of the family's 1533-position model. The record is from RNAcentral.
UUGGCUCAGGAUGAACGCUGGCGGCGCGUCUUAAGCAUGCAAGUCGAGCGGGAUUAGGGUAGCUUGCUACCUUAUGAGAGCGGCGGACUGGUGAGUAACGCGUAGAUGACGAACCCUCCGGACGGGGACAGCCGGUAGAAAUACCGGGUAAUACCGGAUACGGUCGUAUGUGUCAGAGGCAUACGAGGAAAGGAGCUCAGGCUCCGCCGGGGGAUCGGUCUGCGACCCAUCAGCUUGAUGGCGGGGUAAAGGCCCACCAUGGCGAUGACGGGUAUCCGGCCUAAGAGGGUGAACGGACACAUUGGGACUGAGAUACGGCCCAGACUCCUACGGGAGGCAGCAGUGGGGAAUA